Molecule: ribosomal RNA, 232 nt
Filed under: uncultured bacterium
Lineage: Bacteria
Description: partial 16S ribosomal RNA
Rfam family: Bacterial small subunit ribosomal RNA
Source: RNAcentral
ACGCUCGACACCUACGGGAGCAGCAGUAGGGAAUUUUCGUCAAUGGGGGGAACCCUGAACGAGCAAUGCCGCGUGAGUGAAGAAGGUCUUCGGAUCGUAAAGCUCUGUUGUAAGAGAAAAACGGACUCCAUAGGGAAUGAUGGAGGAGUGAUGGUAUCUUACCAGAAAGCCACGGCUAACUACGUGCCAGUAGCCGCCGGUAAGUACUGAGCGGGCGGUCGGCGAACGGACG